Molecule: ribosomal RNA, 253 nt
Filed under: uncultured bacterium
Lineage: Bacteria
Description: partial 16S ribosomal RNA
Rfam family: Bacterial small subunit ribosomal RNA
Source: RNAcentral
UACGUCGGGUCCGCGCUUUUUCCUUAAUUACUGGGCGUAAAGAGCUCGUAGGUGGUUUGUCGCGUUGUUCGUGAAAACUCACAGCUCAACUGUGGGCGUGCGGGCGAUACGGGCAGACUGGAGUACUGCAGGGGAGACUGGAAUUCCUGGUGUAGCGGUGGAAUGCGCAGAUAUCAGGAGGAACACCGGUGGCGAAGGCGGGUCUCUGGGCAGUAACUGACGCUGAGGAGCGAAAGCGUGGGGAGCGAACAGG